Molecule: microRNA precursor, 64 nt
Filed under: Dasypus novemcinctus (nine-banded armadillo)
Lineage: Eukaryota; Metazoa; Chordata; Mammalia; Cingulata; Dasypodidae
Description: microRNA dno-mir-192 precursor
Gene: dno-mir-192
Source: miRBase by way of RNAcentral
CUGACCUAUGAAUUGACAGCUAGUGCUGUUGUCCGCCUCUGGCUGCCAAUUCCAUAGGUCACAG